Molecule: ribosomal RNA, 569 nt
Filed under: uncultured bacterium
Lineage: Bacteria
Description: bacterial SSU rRNA
Rfam family: Bacterial small subunit ribosomal RNA
Source: RNAcentral
AGUUUGAUCCUGGCUCAGGAUGAACGCUGGCGGCGUGCCUAAUACAUGCAAGUCGAACGCACAGCGAAAGGUGCUUGCACCUUUCAAGUGAGUGGCGAACGGGUGAGUAACACGUGGACAACCUGCCUCAAGGCUGGGGAUAACAUUUGGAAACAGAUGCUAAUACCGAAUAAAACUCAGUGUCGCAUGACACAAAGUUAAAAGGCGCUUUGGCGUCACCUAGAGAUGGAUCCGCGGUGCAUUAGUUAGUUGGUGGGGUAAAGGCCUACCAAGACAAUGAUGCAUAGCCGAGUUGAGAGACUGAUCGGCCACAUUGGGACUGAGACACGGCCCAAACUCCUACGGGAGGCUGCAGUAGGGAAUCUUCCACAAUGGGCGAAAGCCUGAUGGAGCAACGCCGCGUGUGUGAUGAAGGCUUUCGGGUCGUAAAGCACUGUUGUAUGGGAAGAACAGCUAGAAUAGGGAAUGAUUUUAGUUUGACGGUACCAUACCAGAAAGGGACGGCUAAAUACGUGCCAGCAGCCGCGGUAAUACGUAUGUCCCGAGCGUUAUCCGGAUUUAUUGGGCGU